UAAUACCAGCUCCCCGAGUGGUGGGGACGAUUAUUGGGCCUAAAGCGUCCGUAGCCGGCUCGGCAAGUCUUCCGUCAAAUCCAACGAUCUAAUCGUUGGGCUGCGGGAGAUACUGCAGGGCUAGGGGGCGGGAGAAGCCGACGGUACUCCCGGGGUAGGGGUGAAAUCCUAUAAUCCCAGGAGGACCACCAGUGGCGAAGGCGGUCGGCUAGAACGCGCCCGACGGUGAGGGACGAAAGCGGGGGGAGCGAUCCGGAUUAGAUACCCGGGUAGUCCCAGCUGUAAACGAUGCAGGCUAGGUGUUGGUGCGACUACGGGUCACGCCAGUGCCGCAGGGAAGCCGUUAAGCCUGCCGCCUGGGUAGUACGGUCGCAAGACUG
RNAcentral lists this ribosomal RNA (380 nucleotides) under uncultured archaeon. Its description in RNAcentral is "bacterial SSU rRNA". It matches the Rfam family "Archaeal small subunit ribosomal RNA", at positions 471 to 851 of the family's 1478-position model. The record is from RNAcentral.